AGCUGCCUGAUGAAGAGCUGUAC
RNAcentral lists this microRNA (23 nucleotides) under Lottia gigantea (owl limpet). Its description in RNAcentral is "Lgi-Mir-22-P1_3p (mature (guide))". Lineage: Eukaryota; Metazoa; Mollusca; Gastropoda; Lottiidae. The record is from RNAcentral.